AACGUAGGGGACAAGCGUUAUCCGGAUUUACUGGGCGUAAAGCGCCCGUAGGCGGUUGGCGAAGUUGGACGUGAAAGCUCCCGGCUUAACUGGGAGAGGCCGUUCAAAACUGGCCGACUGGAGACUGGAAGAGGAGAGCGGAAUUCCCGGUGUAGUGGUGGAAUGCGUAGAUAUCGGGAGGAACACCAGUGGCGAAAGCGGCUCUCUGGUCCAGCUCUGACGCUGAGGGGCGAAAGCGUGGGGAGCGAACGGGAUUAGAAACCCCUGUAGUCC
RNAcentral lists this ribosomal RNA (273 nucleotides) under uncultured bacterium. RNAcentral's name for it is "partial 16S ribosomal RNA". It matches the Rfam family "Bacterial small subunit ribosomal RNA", at positions 524 to 796 of the family's 1533-position model. The record is from RNAcentral.